This 393-nucleotide ribosomal RNA is filed under the name uncultured nitrite-oxidizing bacterium. Its description in RNAcentral is "bacterial SSU rRNA". It matches the Rfam family "Bacterial small subunit ribosomal RNA", at positions 521 to 916 of the family's 1533-position model. The record is from RNAcentral.
UAAUACGAAGGUGGCAAGCGUUGUUCGGAUUUACUGGGCGUACAGGGAGCGUAGGCGGUUGGGUAAGCCCUCCGUGAAAUCUCCGGGCCUAACCCGGAAAGUGCGGAGGGGACUGCUCGGCUAGAGGAUGGGAGAGGAGCGCGGAAUUCCCGGUGUAGCGGUGAAAUGCGUAGAGAUCGGGAGGAAGGCCGGUGGCGAAGGCGGCGCUCUGGAACAUUUCUGACGCUGAGGCUCGAAAGCGUGGGGAGCAAACAGGAUUAGAUACCCUGGUAGUCCACGCCUUAAACGAUGAAUACUAAGUGUCGGCGGGUUACCGCCGGUGCCGCAGCUAACGCAUUAAGUAUUCCGCCUGGGAAGUACGGCCGCAAGGUUGAAACUUAAAGGAAUUGACGG